GACGAACGCUGGCGGCGUGCUUAACACAUGCAAGUCGAACGGUGAACCAGAGCUUGCUCUGGGGAUCAGUGGCGAACGGGUGAGUAACACGUGGGCAACCUGCCCAGACUCUGGGAUAACCUCGGGAAACCGAUGCUAAUACCGGAUACGACCACUUCGGACAUCCGACGGUGGUGGAAAGUUUUCGGUCUGGGAUGGGCCCGCGGCCUAUCAGCUAGUUGGUGGGGUAAUGGCCUACCAAGGCGACGACGGGUAGCCGGCCUGAGAGGGCGACCGGCCACACUGGAACUGAGACACGGUCCAGACUCCUACGGGAGGCAGCAGUGGGGAAUAUUGCACAAUGGGCGAAAGCCUGAUGCAGCGACGCCGCGUGAGGGACGACGGCCUUCGGGUUGUAAACCUCUUCUAGCAGGGACGAAGCGAAAGUGACUGUACCUGCAGAAGAAGACACCGGCUAACUACGUGCCAGCAG
Molecule: ribosomal RNA, 472 nt
Filed under: uncultured bacterium
Lineage: Bacteria
Description: bacterial SSU rRNA
Rfam family: Bacterial small subunit ribosomal RNA
Source: RNAcentral